RNAcentral lists this unclassified non-coding RNA (324 nucleotides) under Hevea brasiliensis (rubber tree). Lineage: Eukaryota; Viridiplantae; Streptophyta; Magnoliopsida; Malpighiales; Euphorbiaceae. The record is from RNAcentral.
GGAUAACAAAAAGUCCCGGAUCAUCCCGAGGCAUGUGUGUCUGGCCGUCAGAAAUGACGAGGAGCUGAGCAAACUGCUUGCUGGGGUCACAAUCUCCUAUGGUGGUGUCAUCCCCAACAUCAACCCUAUCCUGCUCCCCAAAAAGACCGCCGAGAAGGCCGAAGCUGCCGGAACUAAGUCCCCGAAGAAGCCUGCCAAGUCUCCGAAGAAAGCUGCCAAGUAACCACAAGGGCGUUUAUUUGAUGCUAAUAUAUGUCUCAAGGGUUUUUUUCUUGUAAACCCAAAGUGUUGUGUCGUUGGUUCUGCUUCCUUUGAAUUGGAUCU